CAUUGAAUAACGUCACUUGUGUUUCAGAAUAACCCCAAGCCAUGGUUAGCAAAAGCUGUGAGAGAGGAAAAGAAACCGUUGCCCCCGGAUGUACAAAUGAUACCCAUUCCUAUUUUAGGAUCAGAGUUUAUUCACUCGCUGCCCGCUGUCUACUGUUCGCUGUGUGAUGUGUUUUUGAGAGACGUUGCAGAGGCUGUAAAGCAUCCUGAAAGUGACACUCACACUUCAAACUAUAAGACAUACAAGGAAAACCACCCCAGCAAAAUAGAAUCAUACUGGAAGGCCCACCAAGGAGCCCUGUUCAGGCACAAGAUGCAAAGCAAUAAAAAGGUAUACCAAAGCUGAAGCGAAAGACGACGUGUCUCAGCAGAUAGAAGGACGAUUACUCCGUGAACUCAAGGCUAAAAGAGAGAGA
Long non-coding RNA from Macrobrachium nipponense, 415 nucleotides. RefSeq lists it as uncharacterized. The transcript has 3 exons. NCBI's taxonomy places the organism in Eukaryota, Metazoa, Arthropoda, Malacostraca, Decapoda, Palaemonidae. The record is from RefSeq and is a predicted model, not a curated record.